RNAcentral lists this microRNA precursor (123 nucleotides) under Gossypium hirsutum (cotton). RNAcentral's name for it is "MIR7504 microRNA precursor family". It matches the Rfam family "MIR7504 microRNA precursor family". The record is from Rfam by way of RNAcentral. Lineage: Eukaryota; Viridiplantae; Streptophyta; Magnoliopsida; Malvales; Malvaceae.
AAUAGGAGAAAGACAAAUUAGAUUUUUCUUUCUAAUAUUCAACUUUUUCUCCUGAAAAAAAUUUAAAUCUAACUAAAAAUGCUAAAAAUCAGGUAGAAAAAUCUGAUUUGCCAUUCUCCUAUU